UACGUAGGGUGCGAGCGUUGUCCGGAAUUAUUGGGCGUAAAGAGCUCGUAGGCGGUAUGUCGCGUCUGCUGUGAAAGACCGGGGCUUAACUUCGGUUUUGCAGUGGAUACGGGCAUGCUUGAGGUAGGUAGGGGAGACUGGAAUUCCUGGUGUAGCGGUGAAAUGCGCAGAUAUCAGGAGGAACACCGGUGGCGAAGGCGGGUCUCUGGGCCUUACCUGACGCUGAGGAGCGAAAGCAUGGGUAGCCAACAGGAUUAGAUACCCGCGUA
This 269-nucleotide ribosomal RNA is filed under the name uncultured prokaryote. Its description in RNAcentral is "partial 16S ribosomal RNA". It matches the Rfam family "Bacterial small subunit ribosomal RNA", at positions 524 to 792 of the family's 1533-position model. The record is from RNAcentral.